CUUUACUGUAGCUUUGUAUUGGACUUUGAACAGAUCUGUGUAGGAUAGGUGGGAGGCUUUGAAGCAGGGUCGCUAGAUCUUGUGGAGCCAACGUUGAAAUACCACCCUGGUGUGUUUGAGGUUCUAACCUAGGUCCAUUAUCUGGAUCGGGGACAGUGCAUGGUAGGCAGUUUGACUGGGGCGGUCUCCUCCCAAAGUGUAACGGAGGAGUUCGAAGGUACGCUAGGUACGGUCGGACAUCGUGCUAAUAGUGCAAUGGCAUAAGCGUGCUUAACUGCGAGACUGACAAGUCGAGCAGAUGCGAAAGCAGGACAUAGUGAUCCGGUGGUUCUGUAUGGAAGGGCCAUCGCUCAACGGAUAAAAGGUA
This 367-nucleotide ribosomal RNA is filed under the name uncultured organism. RNAcentral describes it as "bacterial LSU rRNA". It matches the Rfam family "Bacterial large subunit ribosomal RNA", at positions 2099 to 2465 of the family's 2925-position model. The record is from RNAcentral.